Amaranthus tricolor (Joseph's coat) is the source of this 1582-nucleotide long non-coding RNA. RefSeq lists it as uncharacterized. NCBI's taxonomy places the organism in Eukaryota, Viridiplantae, Streptophyta, Magnoliopsida, Caryophyllales, Amaranthaceae. The transcript is spliced from 7 exons. The record is from RefSeq and is a predicted model, not a curated record.
AGUUGUCAGUAUCUCUACUAGUAAGUAUUGGCAUGGCGCAAUCAAAUUGACGGGUGACAUUUACAUGUGGGAUGGGAUGAAAGCUAAGGACAAGCCACUAGAAGUGACUAUGCCAUUCACCGGGGCUUCGGUCGCCGGCUCCCCUGUCAUCAGAUCACCAACUUCCUUGACCUUCCGGCCCCACUGGGAGAAUUUCAUAACUGUGGAGAUGGUCAUUAAUUACAAACUAAGGUUCGCGGGGGAAUCCUAGAGGGGAAAGCGCAAGUUCUUACAUUAUUUCAAGUAAAAUCUUUCCGUAAGCUUCGUCAAGCCCAGCUCUAUAAAUCCUUUGCUUUCCACUUCAAAAGGCCUUCCAAGCUUACUCUUUUUUUCUAUUAGAGUCGCGUAGUGAAAUCUUCUUCCGAAGCUUGAGCCGAGCCUCCACCUAUUGAAGUAGAAAGAUAAAUUCCCCGACUCAACGGAUUAUUAUGCCCUAGUCUUGCAUUAUCAAAUGGAUAGACCAGGGUCUUGAUGUUAUUUUCAAAUGGAGUUGAUUUCCAAGCUUAACAAUCCAUACAUUGCUGAAUAUAAAUAUUCUUGGGUGGACAAGGAGUAGUCAUGGUCUUGCGUGGAGAUAGAGGACAUACUGACAUGAGUUAAAUGAGGUUGGGAGAAAACAAGCCAUCAUAGUAAAGAGAGAAAAUGGGGUAGAUCAGAUAGUUGCGUGGAUUACUGGUAUAAAUGGUUUUUUCCGACUCCGGCCGUUUAUAGUUUAUUCCCUUCCAAGCUUGAGCCCGCCACUUGUCAUAUGUAAUCCAUUGUCUACCAAAAAGUUGGUCACCAAAUCUCUAUGAGUCAAGCAUAAAAGUUGCGCUUGAUUUUGUAUCCCCUGAGAAUGUUCGUGAGUGUAUCCGCCUGGCUGGGGACUUCCGGGAUCUCCCUCAAAACCACAAGGCCAAGGAGGAUAUGUUGGAGAUAUAUGUUAGUUGCAGUUUGUGGUUAGUGUUAUUAUUGCUAUUGUAACCUCAGGUUGCAACAGUACCAAUUGUCAAGGAUGCUAUUCAAUAUUUAGUUAUUAAAUUCUCUUCUUGAUGCUGGAGAAAAAUAUGACGCUUUAUGCUGUGAAGAUGGCUAUACAAAAUUUAGGGUUUCAGGAGAGUGAUGACUCGGAUGUUGACAAAAAUAUUGAUUUCGAGCAUGAAUCUGAGCAAAAGUCAGAGUUAGAGCUAAACAGGUCUGCAGUUAAAGGGUGUUUUUGAUCCUAUUAGUUACCAGAGAAGGCUUAUCUUUUGUAGUACCACUAUAGUCUGCUGGGUAACUAUUUGAGAGGUAGUCUGAUUGUGUCAAUUAGACUUGACGGAAGAUUUAGGGCAUUUUGUGAAGUUGAUUGUACAGAUCUAAUCUUAAAAUUUAUCAACAAAAUCGAGGGAAUUAAGUAAUACGAGGUAGAUAAAAUCAAAAAAUCAAGAAAAAAAAAAAACCAUAACUAACCAUUGAUAGUAAUCCACAUAAAUAUGAUACUAUGUGUUAGACAUGAAAAAACAAAAAACUCUCCAUGGUUACCUUGAAUUAUAAUAGAAGCAGAUUUUUUUUUAAAAAAAAA